AAUUGUGACAGGUCUUGGCCACGAUGCGUCCAUUGCACACACAGAGACUUUUGCUCCGAUUCUCUAUGUCUUUAAAUUCAAGAAUGAAGAAGAGGUCUUUGCAUGGAAUAAUGAAGUAAAACAGGGACUUUCAAGUAGCAUCUUUACCAAAGAUCUGGGCAGAAUCUUUCGCUGGCUUGGGUACAACUUUGUCUAUUUUGAAAAUUUAUAUAAGUCUGAUUUAUGUGGUGAGUGGACUUAAAAAAACUGCUGUAGUCUAAAAUCAAUUUUUCAGUAUUGAAAGCCUUUGAGCUUUGGUUUAGAUUUUUUAUUUUUGUUUGUUUUUAAUUUCCUGUUCAUUGCUCUCACCAUGCCUCCCUUUUUACACAGACCUAAAGGAUCAGACUGUGGCAUUGUAAAUGUCAACAUUCCAACAAGUGGGGCUGAGAUUGGAGGUGCCUUUGGUACGUAGAGAAUCAUUUCUCCUUUUCCAUAUUGGGC
This 480-nucleotide small RNA is filed under the name Pan troglodytes (chimpanzee). RNAcentral's name for it is "retained intron". Lineage: Eukaryota; Metazoa; Chordata; Mammalia; Primates; Hominidae. The record is from RNAcentral.